UUCUGGCUCAGGAUGAACGCGGGCGGUAUGCUUUACACAUGCAAGUCGUACGAGAGUUUUUAACUCAAGUGGCGGACGGGUGAGUAACACGUAAGAAUUUGCCUUUAGGAGGGGGACAACAACUGGAAACGGUUGCUAAUACCCCAUAUGCUUUCGAGUGAAAUGGAUUUUUCCGCCUAAAGAGAAGCUUGCGGCUGAUUAGCUUGUUGGUAAGGUAAUGGCUUACCAAGGCGACGAUCAGUAUCUGGUUUGAGAGGACGAUCAGACACACUGGAACUGAGACACGGUCCAGACUCCUACGGGAGGCAGCAGUGGGGAAUUUUCCGCAAUGGGCGAAAGCCUGACGGAGCAAUACCGCGUGAGGGAUGACGGCCUAUGGGUUGUAAACCCCUUUUUUUCAGGGAGGAAUAAAAUGACGUGUACCUGAAGAAUAAGCAUCGGCUAACUCCGUGCCAGCAGCCGCGGUAAGACGGAGGAUGCAAGUGUUAUCCGGAAUCACUGGGCGUAAAGCGUCUGUAGGUGGUCAAAUAAGUCAACUGUUAAAUCUUGAGGCUCAACCUCAAAAUCGCAGUCGAAACUAUUAGACUAGAGUAUAGUAGGGGUAAAGGGAAUUUCCAGUGGAGCGGUGAAAUGCGUAGAUAUUGGAAAGAACACCGAUGGCGAAGGCACUUUACUGGGCUAUUACUAACACUCAGAGACGAAAGCUAGGGUAGCAAAUGGGAUUAGAUACCCCAGUAGUCCUAGCUGUAAACAAUGGAUACUAGAUGUUGGACAGAUCGACCUGUGCAGUAUCAAAGCUAACGCGUUAAGUAUCCCGCCUGGGAAGUAUGCUCGCAAGAGUGAAACU
Molecule: ribosomal RNA, 847 nt
Filed under: uncultured bacterium
Lineage: Bacteria
Description: bacterial SSU rRNA
Rfam family: Bacterial small subunit ribosomal RNA
Source: RNAcentral